Molecule: ribosomal RNA, 564 nt
Filed under: Trichoderma sp. PPRI 14678
Lineage: Eukaryota; Fungi; Ascomycota; Sordariomycetes; Hypocreales; Hypocreaceae
Description: eukaryotic LSU rRNA
Source: RNAcentral
UUCCUAACCCAAUGUGAACCAUACCAAACUGUUGCCUCGGCGGGGUCACGCCCCGGGUGCSUYKCAGCCCCGGAACCAGGCGCCCGCCGGAGGGACCAACCAAACUCUUUUCUGUAGUCCCCUCGCGGACGUUAUUUCUUACAGCUCUGAGCAAAAAUUCAAAAUGAAUCAAAACUUUCAACAACGGAUCUCUUGGUUCUGGCAUCGAUGAAGAACGCAGCGAAAUGCGAUAAGUAAUGUGAAUUGCAGAAUUCAGUGAAUCAUCGAAUCUUUGAACGCACAUUGCGCCCGCCAGUAUUCUGGCGGGCAUGCCUGUCCGAGCGUCAUUUCAACCCUCGAACCCCUCCGGGGGGUCGGCGUUGGGGAUCGGGAACCCCUAAGACGGGAUCCCGGCCCCGAAAUACAGUGGCGGUCUCGCCGCAGCCUCUCCUGCGCAGUAGUUUGCACAACUCGCACCGGGAGCGCGGCGCGUCCACGUCCGUAAAACACCCAACUUCUGAAAUGUUGACCUCGGAUCAGGUAGGAAUACCCGCUGAACUUAAGCAUAUCAAUAAGGCGGARAAA